This 352-nucleotide ribosomal RNA is filed under the name Micrococcus luteus. Its description in RNAcentral is "partial 23S ribosomal RNA". It matches the Rfam family "Bacterial large subunit ribosomal RNA", at positions 2566 to 2925 of the family's 2925-position model. The record is from RNAcentral. Lineage: Bacteria; Bacillati; Actinomycetota; Actinomycetes; Micrococcales; Micrococcaceae.
CAAGGGUUGGGCUGUUCGCCCAUUAAAGCGGUACGCGAGCUGGGUUCAGAACGUCGUGAGACAGUUCGGUCCCUAUCUGUCGUGGGCGCAGGAAAUUUGAGAGGAGCUGUCCUUAGUACGAGAGGACCGGGAUGGACGUACCGCUGGUGCACCAGUUGUUCCGCCAGGAGCAUGGCUGGGUAGCUACGUACGGACGGGAUAAGCGCUGAAAGCAUCUAAGCGUGAAGCCCCCCUCAAGAUGAGAUUUCCCAAUUAGUAAGACCCCUUGAAGACGACGAGGUAGAUAGGUUGGAGGUGGACGUGCAGUAAUGCAUGGAGCUGACCAAUACUAAUCGGUCGAGGGCUUAUCCUA